RNAcentral lists this ribosomal RNA (381 nucleotides) under uncultured marine Chaetocerotaceae. Its description in RNAcentral is "SSU rRNA". It matches the Rfam family "Eukaryotic small subunit ribosomal RNA", at positions 587 to 972 of the family's 1831-position model. Lineage: Eukaryota; Bacillariophyta; Thalassiosirophyceae; Chaetocerotales; Chaetocerotaceae. The record is from RNAcentral.
AGCUCCAAUAGCGUAUAUUAAAGUUGCUGCAGUUAAAAAGCUCGUAGUUGCAUUUCCGAGGCAAGGGAUUAGUCCGACCUUUGGUGGGUAUUUAAUCCUCUUGCCUCGUCCUUGAGUGGUGCUUCUUGGUAUUAAGUUAUCGAGGAGAUAGCCGCUCAUCGUUUACUGUGAGAAAAUUAGAGUGUUCAAAGCAGGCUUAUGCCGUUGAAUAUAUUAGCAUGGAAUAAUAAGAUAGGACCUCGUUACUAUUUGGUUGGUUUGAGAACCAAGGUAAUGAUGAAUAGGGACAGUUGGGGGUAUUCGUAUUCAGUUGUCAGAGGUGAAAUUCUUAGAUUUACGGAAGACGAACUACUGCGAAAGCAUUUACCAAGGAUGUUUUCA